UGAGGGACUUGGGAAUAUCCACUUG
Molecule: non-coding RNA, 25 nt
Filed under: Rattus norvegicus (Norway rat)
Lineage: Eukaryota; Metazoa; Chordata; Mammalia; Rodentia; Muridae
Source: RNAcentral